GGGUGGAGCAGUGGGCAGAGAUUAUUUAAAUCCUUCCUGCUCCUCACAGGCAUUGUACGUAUUUAAUCUCUGAAGUGACCACAGCAGCACACAGGACCUGUUCCAGUGCAAGGCCAGUCUGUGCAGGGGAGUGUUUCUGUUGUGGGCUACAGGGAGCACUUCAACCAGGCUCAGCAUUUCCUGUGUUGUCAGGGAACACAUUCAGAGCUCAACUUUGACACCAGAAGUUUCCUCCCGGAGCUGGAGGGGACAAGGAUCCUAGUUAAUGCUGAAUCUCCAGCCCCAGUGAUGACUGGAUGCUGAUGCUUCUUCUGGGGACCUGCGUCUACUUAUUGUUAUCAACUACCAUUUACCCCUGCCUAGAUGCACCCCAAAUUAGUAAAUUUUGGGAAUGAA
Long non-coding RNA from Enhydra lutris kenyoni (northern sea otter), 396 nucleotides. RefSeq lists it as uncharacterized. The transcript has 2 exons. NCBI's taxonomy places the organism in Eukaryota, Metazoa, Chordata, Mammalia, Carnivora, Mustelidae. The record is from RefSeq and is a predicted model, not a curated record.